RNAcentral lists this transfer RNA (67 nucleotides) under Pinctada margaritifera. Its description in RNAcentral is "tRNA-Gln". Lineage: Eukaryota; Metazoa; Mollusca; Bivalvia; Pterioida; Pteriidae. The record is from RNAcentral.
AGUCUAUUAGUAUAGGAGAGUACUCUAGUUUUUGGUGCUAGGAGAGGGUGGGUUCCCCCAUAGAUAG